CGUGUAGGCGGCCAGAUAGGUCUGGUGUGAAAACUCGAGGCUCAACCUCGAGAGGUCACUGGAAACCAUUUGGCUAGAGUCCGGAAGAGGAGAGUGGAAUUCCUGGUGUAGCGGUGAAAUGCGCAGAUAUCAGGAAGAACACCUAUGGCGAAGGCAGCUCUCUGGGACGGUACUGACGCUGAGACGCGAAAGCGUGGGGAGCAAACA
Molecule: ribosomal RNA, 207 nt
Filed under: uncultured bacterium
Lineage: Bacteria
Description: partial 16S ribosomal RNA
Rfam family: Bacterial small subunit ribosomal RNA
Source: RNAcentral